RNA transcript from Cyprinus carpio (common carp), 4246 nucleotides. It is a transcript of the gene named ADAM metallopeptidase domain 23a, with no coding region annotated. The record is from RefSeq and is a predicted model, not a curated record. Lineage: Eukaryota; Metazoa; Chordata; Actinopteri; Cypriniformes; Cyprinidae. The transcript is spliced from 27 exons.
UGCUUGGCCACCGCCUUCCAUCCAUCCGAGCUGCCACCCCUUCGCCGCUUUUCCAGUCCUCCCCACCCCUCAGCAUCCCAACCGUGCUACCCACCCCUCAGUCUCCGAUGCUGCAUGAAGGAUUUCCCCCUCUUCCCGCGGGAUACGCACUAAAAUCACUCUCAUAAUAAUGGACUGCGACGCUCGCUGUAAAUUGACGCGCUAAUGACAAUUUAUUUAGUCUUCAAAUAUGAAUCAUGCGUCUGAUAUUCCAUCUGUGUCUGCUCGCUAGCAUAUUUAUUUCCGUGCCAUCUUCUAUCGCCUCAACCUCUACGGUUUCCAGCUCCGUACAGAAUGAGGAUCUCAGGGAUCAGCAUGUGUCUGAGACCCCACGAGAAGCGACAGCAGCAGCACCGGGCAAUUCCACGGGAAGAAAAACCGGAGAGCACGAAGUCACCGUCACAUAUCCCUCCCGGCUCAUCUACUACUUGAAUGAGGAGUCGGAGAGCACGGAUCAUGACCUGGACACUCGGGCGAGGAACCAGGCCGUUGAUGGACAGGAUGUCCACCUGGCCCAAGCAAGUUUCCAGCUGGACGCCUUUGGCACCACAUUCACUUUGGACCUUACUUUGAACAAUGAUCUGCUCUCUUCAGAUUAUAUGGAAAUCCACUAUGAGAAAGACAAGCCCGUUCUCUCUAGGGGUGGGGAACACUGCUACUACCACGGUCACGUGAGAGGAAAAGAAGACUCCCGCGUAGCUUUAUCCACCUGCAACGGGCUUCAUGGGAUGUUUGAUGAUGGUAAUUUUGUCUAUCUCAUUGAACCUCUGAAACAGACUCACACCGUGGAAACAGAAGCACGACCCCACACUUUGCGCCGUACAUCAUCGCUCCAUGUGACCUCUGUCCCAGGUGAUUGGUCUGCUGAUGACCCAGUUGAGGAAAAGGAAGAGGAGAAACGUAUUUUUGCUAGCAUGCCUUGGCUAAAGAGAAGGAGGAAAAGAGCUAUGCCGCGUAACAUUUUUGAGGAAAUGAAGUAUCUGGAAAUAAUGAUUGUCGCUGACCACAAAACGUUUAAAAGGCACAAGAGUAAAAAGCAUACCAGGAACUUUGCCAAAUCAGUUGUCAACUUUGUAGACGCUAUUUUUAAGGAGCAGCUGAAUACGCGUGUGGUAUUAGUUGCUGUGGAGAUUUGGACUGACAGGGACCGGAUUCCGCUGAGCGUGAAACCAUUGGAAAUGUUAAGAGAUUUUUCAAAGUACAGACAACAGAACAUUAACAUCAACACUGAUGCCGUGCACCUCUUCACGAAUGUGACGUUUCAUUACGGUCGGAGCGGUGUUGCGUAUAUUGGUGGCGUGUGUUCCAAAGAAAGAGGAAUUGGUGUUAAUGAGUUUGGCAGCACAUGGACAAUGGCUGCCUCUCUCUCGCAGAGCUUAGCUCAGAAUCUGGGUAUCCAGUGGGAUCCUGUGACCAGGAGGAAGAAGUGCGGCUGCAUGGAAUCAUGGGUGGGAUGUAUAAUGGAAGACACUGGAGUGCAACACCCACGCAGGUUUUCCAAAUGCAGCAUUACUGACUACAGGAACUUUCUUCUAAGAGGUGGUGCUUCAUGUCUGUUUAACAAACCCAACAAGCUCUUUGAGGCUACAGAAUGUGGGAAUGGUUACACAGAGGUGGGAGAGGAGUGUGACUGUGGGGCCCGAAUGGAGUGCUAUAAAGACUGCUGUAAAAAAUGUUCUUUGUCUAAUGGAGCGCACUGCAGUGACGGCCCCUGCUGCAACAGCACAUGCCUGUUCUACCCACGUGGAUACAGCUGUCGAUAUGCUGUGAAUGAUUGUGACAUAUCAGAGACUUGUUCAGGAGACUCGGGACAGUGCCCGCCUAAUCUUCAUAAGCAAGAUGGCUACUCUUGUCAGCUCAACCAGGGUCGCUGUUACAGUGGUGAAUGUAAGACCCGGGACAGUCAGUGCAAAUACAUCUGGGGUCCAAAGGCUGGAGGGUCAGAGAAGCACUGCUAUGAGAAGUUAAACACAGAGGGGACAGAAAAGGGGAACUGUGGGAGAGAUGGAGACAAAUGGGUGCCCUGCAGCAAACACGAUGUGUUCUGCGGGUACCUGCUGUGCACUAACACUGGGAGAAUCCCAAGGAUUGGGACCCUGAAAGGCGACGUCACUCCCACCACAUUUAACCAUCAGGGGCGACUGGUGGACUGCAGUGGGGGACACGUGCUGUUGGAUGAUGACACUGAUCUAGGGUAUGUGGAAGAUGGUUCACCGUGUGGCCCCUCUAUGAUGUGCCUUGAACGGAAAUGUCUACCCAUCUCCUCCCUGAACCUCACAGCCUGUCCGUCUGGCCCAGGUGGCCGGGUCUGCUCUUCUCACGGCGUUUGCAAUAAUGAAGCAACCUGCACCUGUGAUGCUACAUGGGCAGGAACUGACUGCAGCAUGCACGACCCCCCAAAACAGCCACCCGUCAUUGAGGACCCAGGUCCCAAGGUGAGCGUGGCCACAAACAGGCUGAUAGGGGCAGUGGCAGGGACCAUUCUGGCCCUGGGGGUGAUUUUUGGAGGCACAGGGUGGGGAAUAGAGUCCUAGCGCCACCAACCUUAUCAUAGGCUCCAUCGCAGGGGCCAUCCUGAUGGCAGCCAUAGUGCUGGGGGGGACGGGAUGGGGAUUUAAGGUGAGAGUUUGAGCGGAGAGGGGUGGAGGUUGUGUCGUAGGCAGCCUUUGUGCCAUGGCUGGCUGCCACGCCCUCUUAUCUCCCGGAAGGCCCUGGGCCACCCUGAAAACCUAGAACAGAGCAAGAGCCCUCACCCCCCACCCGGACUCGCCCGGCACCGCUGCCUUUACUGCCUGCUUCACAGAGACCUGGUACAGACACACGCGCUGCACUGCACCUGCAUGCUACCCCAGUCACCCCCCUACACAGCGAUAGUGGCGUCUCCCACCUAACCUCUCUAUGGACAGGUGCAUGUUAAACUGCUGGGAUGCCCCACAUCAAGCCACGCUACGGGGAGGUUGUGUCAAACCCCUGUUGUUGUUGGUGUUGUUGCAGUUCUUGUUGCCUUUCUUGUUGUUCCUGGUGGUAUCGUUGUCGUUCAUGUUGUGGGUGUGAUGUCCUUUUCUGACCCUCGAUGUUGUACACUCUUUCUUGCUGUUUUCUAUGUCUAUGUCCGUGUUUUCUCACAGGAGGUAAUGUUCUUUUUCCACACCCCUCGUUGUCUUUCUAACACAUACUCGCACGUAGUCAGCGGAGGAACACUCUGUGUCUCUCCUUGUCGCUGCGAAGAACUGCCGUUUUUACCCGCCGCAACCCGACGGCAACUAAACAUUAUGUAUAGCUUUCGAUAAAUGAUUUGAAUUGAUCAAGAAGCUAAAGAAACGACCACCACGUGGUUGCUGCGGGUUAAGGCGGUAAGAUGGGCAGCGAAUUGUAUGUUGAUGUCUCUGGCAUUGCCUGCACUAACCCCCAUCUUGUUUGUUUUGUCCUGUUUGUCCUCAUCAUCAAAUGUCAAGAAAAGACGAUAUGACCCUAAUGCCAGUGCCAUCUAAAGAGGCUAAGAGAACUGCAUCCUUGCCAGGUGUGCACCUGGGUUCCGUCAGAACCCGCCGGACUGUACCCUCUCCUGCUGCUGACGCCGCUGCCGACGGCGUUGGCGAUACUUGAAUAUAAAAGGACAGAAAGCGAGAGAAGAAACGGCCGAACAUUUUUCAUCUGCAGUCACAUAAAACUGCUUCUCUAGCGCUGCCCCCGUUCCUUUGCCCCUCUGGCCCUGAGCAUCCACACUGAGCCAUUUAGCAACCCUGAUAACUGGUAGUAGAUAGUACCACUCAUCGGGGCAUGACUUCACGUUUACACGACCCCACCUCCGGUUCCGACCCAGGCAUGACCAGCUUCAGCUGUGGACCUCGCAUGGCAGAGGAGGGACACCAAUGCAAGACAAACAUAAUGUUCAUUAAAAAAAGAAGAAUUAUUUAAGUUCCAGUAGGUUGGUAACACAUCCAUGUGUGUUUGACCAUGUCCUAAGAGAGGGACCCAUAUCGGACAGACAUUUCAGGGCAUAACUUUAAUUUUUAUUUUUUAUUUUAGCAUGUUAUAAUUGCAGGCAUUUUCUGUAGUAUUAAUGAAACAAAUAAACCCAAACAAAAAAGUAAAAAGAAAAUCAAUCCAUUUGGCCAGCAGCAUAUACUGCUGCAUGAUGAAAUCACCACUGUUUUUAUAUGUAUAUAUAUAUAUAUAUAUAUAUAUAUAUAUAUAUAUAUAUAUA